RNAcentral lists this long non-coding RNA (479 nucleotides) under Anser cygnoides (Swan goose). RNAcentral describes it as "lncRNA (ENSACDG00005012858.1)". Lineage: Eukaryota; Metazoa; Chordata; Aves; Anseriformes; Anatidae. The record is from RNAcentral.
GUGAUACCAUUGCUGUUUUAGCUACGAGUGCAGAGCACAGCACUGUAUGGGCUGCUGCAGGGAAAGUUAACAUCCCAGCCUGACCCAGUACAUGGUGCCUGAUGUAAUCCUCUGUGAUGUUUGCGAUUCUGGCUCAGCACAUGGGCACUGGAUGAGGCAGAGCAUACUGCAGGUGAUAAAACAAUGGAUCAUUCAUGCAGAGAGAAAAAUAAAGACAAGGAGACUAUUGAUAAAAGAAGUAACUGUGAGCAUCUUUAGUCCUGAUUUCACAGUUGUUCUGCACCAGAAGGGGUACAGGAUUCUUUCUGGAUCUCAGUAAGAAAGGCACAGCAACAAAUGGAGUAAAAAAACUGCAAUAACAACAACAAUGACAAUAAUAAUUAUUAUUAUUAUAUUAUAUUAUUAUGCAAGAGAAAGAGGAAGAAAAAUACAGAGACUGAGUAAAUAAAACAUCCCUUCAGAAGCUGGGUACCCUGCUC